This 460-nucleotide ribosomal RNA is filed under the name uncultured bacterium. RNAcentral describes it as "partial 16S ribosomal RNA". It matches the Rfam family "Bacterial small subunit ribosomal RNA", at positions 338 to 795 of the family's 1533-position model. The record is from RNAcentral.
CCUACGGCUGGCAGCAGUGAGGAAUAUUGGUCCAUGGACGAGAGUCUGAACCAGCCAAGUAGCGUGAAGGAUGACUGCCCUAUGGGUUGUACACUUCUUUUAUAUGGGAAUAAAACGUUCCACGUGUGGGAUUUUGUCUGUACCCUAUUAAUAAGGAUCGGCUAACUCCGUGCCAUCAGCCGCGGUAAUACGGAGGAUCCGAGCGUUAUCCGGAUUUAUUGGGUUUAAAGGGAGCGUAGGUGGAUUGUUAGGUCAGUUGUGAAAGUUUGCGGCUCAACCGUAAAAUUGCAGUUGAAACUGGCAGUCGUGAGUACAGUAGAGGUGGGCGGAAUUCGUGGUGUAGCGGUGAAAUGCUUAGAUAGCACGAAGAACUCCGAUUGCGAAGGCAGUUCACUGGACUGCAACUGACACUGAGGCUCGAAAGUGUGGGUAUCAAACAGGAUUAGAUACCCCUGUAGUC